AACUUCGUUUGUAUCCUUUCUUGUCUCGACUCUCGAUGCUCACUCUCUCUCAUCAUCAUUCUAUCUCCGCCCAAACCACUACCACGACCACAUGCGUAUCUAAUCUCGUCGUCCAAGCCACGCACCACCAUACUAUUAAUGAAUCACGAUCACCACCAUCGGCUCCGCCCAUAACCCAACUGCAAGGUUGUGAAUCGAGAUGCAAAUUUCCAGCUGACAUUCAUAUUCAACAUCCAAUCCUUCCGAAUUAAGGUAAUUUAUUUAAUUUGAUUGUAAUAUCUUUCGAUUCAAAAAAAAAAAAUUAGGAUUUUGUAGAUUUACGGAUUGUAUAAUUCCAAAUUAGGAUUUGUAAAGUUAGGUAUUUCAUAAUUAGAAUUUAGAAUUUAGGGUUGUCAAUUGACACAACCUGAGUUAUACGGCUUUGGUAUUUCAAAAGUAUAUACUUCUUUCCUAGCGGUUUCCUAAUAUGUUCUUUAAUGUAAAAAUCUAACUAACUAAAAUAUUAAUUAUGUUUUUUUUUUCUUCAGAAGCAAUGGAUGCUACAGAUUUAAAUUUCGUGAACCUUAGUGAUGAGGAGUGUGUAGAAGUUACAAUGGGAACAUAAUCAGAUCUUAGUGUUUUUAUGUUUUGAGUAACAUUUAUGUGGCAAUGUUGUAUGUAGAUACUAAUUUAGUAUGAAACUUUCUAUUUGAUUAUUUAUUUAAGUAAAAUAUAUUUUAUUUAAUGGAUAACAGGUUAGGUCAUAUAUCCAUUAAUUUCAAUGAGAGUUCAGGUUGGGUAAUAUUACUCUUUUAUUUUAACAGAUUUGACACGACACGAUCUGUUAAGAUAUCGGGUACGUCAUGAAAACGUCAUCCAAAAACACAAACACGACACGAUUACCAUGUCUAUAUUAUAGGCAUGAGUCACCAUGUUCUUAAGAAACCAAAAUGAAAAACCUUCAAAAAUAAAAAAUAGAAACAAAACAAAAUGAAAGGAAUGCUAGGGAAUAAAUUUCGGAUAUGCAAAAGUGCAAGGAAAGGCUUGAAAAUUUCAAGUGAUAAUAUUCCCGACUUAUCCAGAAGUGACGUGGCGUGGACUCGUCUCUCUCUUCCCAAUCAUAUAAUUUUACAUGUGAAAGUGACAUGUUAUUUGUUCAUAUCAAUAAGGCACGUUUUUAAAAUUUUAAGGGCCCAUACAAAACUUAGACUUUAGAGUCUUAGACUUAUAAUUUACGUAUAGAAAUGUGAUACCUCAACCGCAGCCUUUCGUUACAUAAAAUAUUUACAUUUUUCUAUUUUUCUAUUUUUCAAGACUUGAGACUUGUAUCUAGUGGUCGAAGUAUUUUUGUUUUUCUAAUAGAUUUUAGACCAGUAUUCCAAAUACUUGAUUUAUUAAGUCAAGUAAUCUCACUCAUAAAGUUUUGUGUGUUUUAUGUUUAUCACAUUCGUAACCAAAGUUUUUGACGGCCUUUUACCCUAAAAUAUUGUCCCAACUACACAUUUUUCUAUCAAAUAUUCAAAGAGACCGGUUACUAAAUCCUCCCACCACACCGAUAUUACACUAACUUAACUAUACUGUUAAGUGUUGAAUUUAUCACAAAAAAAUCUCGGUGUUAUUAAGUUGAAUGUGAAAUUUAUAUUCAACAUAUUCAAGUCACUCAUCAUAUAGCAUCACUUUCAAGGCAAUAAGAAUGCAGGUAAGAGAAUAUGAAAUAUUUCCUUAAUUGUUGAUUGGUAUGGUUUGGCCAUCCAUUAAUUUGAGGCCUAAACUGAACCAAACUAAACACAAAUUUUAGCUUUGUUCAGUUGCGAAUCGUUUUACCUUGAAU
This 1810-nucleotide long non-coding RNA is filed under the name Malus domestica (apple). RNAcentral's name for it is "long non-coding RNA (MDOM_LNC012484)". Lineage: Eukaryota; Viridiplantae; Streptophyta; Magnoliopsida; Rosales; Rosaceae. The record is from RNAcentral.